This 443-nucleotide ribosomal RNA is filed under the name uncultured bacterium. RNAcentral describes it as "partial 16S ribosomal RNA". It matches the Rfam family "Bacterial small subunit ribosomal RNA", at positions 338 to 795 of the family's 1533-position model. The record is from RNAcentral.
CCUACGUGAGACAGCAGUGGGGAAUAUUGGGCAAUGGGCGCAAGCCUGACCCAGCAACGCCGCGUGAAGGAAGAAGGCUUUCGGGUUGUAAACUUCUUUUCUCAGGGACGAAGCAAGUGACGGUACCUGAGGAAUAAGCCACGGCUAACUACGUGCCAGCAGCCGCUGUAAUACGUAGGUGGCAAGCGUUAUCCGGAUUUACUGGGUGUAAAGGGCGUGUAGGCGGGAAAGCAAGUCAGAUGUGAAAACCAUGGGCUCAACCUGUGGCCUGCAUUUGAAACUGUUUUUCUUGAGUACUGGAGAGGCAGACGGAAGUCCUAGUGUAGCGGUGAAAUGCGUAGAUAUUAGGAGGAACACCAGUGGCGAAGGCGGUCUGCUGGACAGCAACUGACGCUGAGGCGCGAAAGCGUGGGGAGCAAACAGGAUUAGAUACCCCUGUAGUC